CUACAAGUACCAGAAGGCUCUGAGCUGGCUUCCGGCAAGGGAGCUGGGAGGCUUUGCGUGCCGGAGUCUGUAGUCCCAGCUUUCCAUCCUCACCAUCCAGAGCCCAAACUGCAGUUACCGCACCACGAGGAGACGUUCCCCACGUCCGUGUGACAUUUUAGAGUAACAGUAUCAGUUCACCUUGUGAAGUUUCCAGCACACAAUGGCAUUUUCACAAGACUAAAAGAGAAGAAAGAAAAAUAUCACUGUCGUUUGAAUCUGGAAUGUCCCCUGAAGAUUCCUGUGUUGAGACUUGGUCCGCAAUGCAACAAUGAUUAAAGAUAAGGCUUGGGAAAAUGGCUGGAUCAGGAAGGCACUGACCUCAUAACAGCUUAAGCCACUGAUGGGUUACUGCGAGGCAACAGAAAUUUAGGUGGGACCUAGUUUAAGAGAGUGGAUCUUUAGCAGCAUGAUCUUGGGGAUUACAUCCCAAGCCCUGUCUUUUCAUCCACUGUGCUUCCUGUUUGCCAGGAGGUGAGCAACCUCCUCAGCCACAAGCUGUUACCAUCGUCACUGUCUGUCUUGCCUUAGGCCCAAAGCAAUGGAGCCAGCUGAUCACGGACUAAAACCUCUAAAACUGUGGGCCAAAAUAAAUGUUCUCCUUUAAUUUUCUGUUAUUUUGUCACAGUGAUGAAAAGUUAAUACACUGAUCUUUUUACUUUUUUGAUGGUAUCAUUUACAGCAAAAUUCCUAUUUAUUUUGAGAAAGCUGUUUGAUUCUUUAAAUCCCCUUGCUAGCAUAAUAAUGGAAGAUCAUGGUUAAAGUUGUGAUGUUUAGACACUGUAGCCUACUUAUACAGGAAUAUAUAAACCCAACUACUAUUAUCAAGAGACAAAGAAAAGUAAUUGGCUGUUUCAAGAGGUGGUGUUUCCAAAUUUAGGCCUUGGUAGUUACAAAAAAAAGACACAAACAUUUUCAUAUAGUAAGUUUGCUGUUUUUGUGCUGAGGCUCAAACCCAAGGCUUCUGCACAUACUGCAAGUGUUCUACUACUGAGCUACAUGCAGCCUAAGUGUCUGAAUUUGAAGACAUCCUUUAAUCUGGGUAGUUUGUAGGAGAGGUUAUAAAUUGGAUAAGACAGAGAAAAGAAUAAACUUGACUAGAACAAAACAGCAGAAAAGGCAAUCAAGAACACAAUGCAGAAAUAAGAAUUGCACAACUCAUUUCAGAAAGCUCAGAAAUGAUUAAAAAUGACUAAGAGGUCUGUCUAAACCCAGAAUAAACAAUGGCAAUAUAGGCACGAAGAGCAAUGCAAUGCUUUCUCUUUAUGGGAAAUACUUCAAAGAAUUUAUGCUGGGAAACAGCAUUUUAAAGAAUUCUACAGGAAAUUCUUUAUAAAACAAAAGCUUAGGCCAGGGUGUGGUGGUGCA
This is a long non-coding RNA of Chinchilla lanigera (long-tailed chinchilla), 1407 nucleotides long. RefSeq lists it as uncharacterized. The record is from RefSeq and is a predicted model, not a curated record. NCBI's taxonomy places the organism in Eukaryota, Metazoa, Chordata, Mammalia, Rodentia, Chinchillidae. The transcript is spliced from 3 exons.